RNAcentral lists this long non-coding RNA (1908 nucleotides) under Phoenix dactylifera (date palm). RNAcentral's name for it is "long non-coding RNA (PDAC_LNC001260)". The record is from RNAcentral. Lineage: Eukaryota; Viridiplantae; Streptophyta; Magnoliopsida; Arecales; Arecaceae.
AAUAAGUACAAGCAAUUUGGAACAAACCGGGUAGUGAACCAAAUAAGAUGGCAUCAUCUGCGAUAAUAAUCAAAGCAAGCCACUCAACAAGGGAUUGAUUUUGUUUUGAAGGGUCAAGAAGGAGGGGAAAAAGACUUAACAAGAUAACAUGGAUAGAACCUGUGAGAAACGAUUCUGAAAAGCUUGCUUUUGACAAUGAUGUAGCCCUUAAUAGGAAACAUUAGCAAAGAAAAGUUUUAUGACAUUGACCCCAAAAAGUUGGGACUCAGCUUGAUGGUUAUGAUUUUCUACUACAGGUUUCCACAAACCAAAUCAGGGUAUCAUUUUAGCUACUAACUAUUUCAAAUUAUUGAAACAAUAUUUCCUUCAGAACAUAACAGAGCAAGAUGCUAGAAUUGCUAAAUACCUACUGUUUCUAAUAAGUGACAACUAAAAUAUACUUAUGGUAGAUAACAUCUUGGCUCCAAAUAAAUCAUAGCAGAUAUGGAAUUAAGGGCUAGAGGACAUUUGAAGUCUAUCUUCAUUGGAGAUGAAAAACGAGUCACUGUUGGAGCUGAAGAUCUUAGUUUAAAUGCCAACUUGAAUUUUAAAACAAAAACUUAGCUGGAAAGUUAAGCUGUAGCAGAAUGGAUGAAGCAAAAUAAAUAAAUAAAUAAAUAUUUACAAAGAUCUCUCUCAGAAAUUCAGGGUCUUGAGAGCAAAAAUAAAGUAAAACGAUGAGCGCCAAAAUGUAAGACCUGACCGAGCAUAUCCCAGGAGACUAACAUACACAAGGGGAAGGAUACAAAGAGAAAGAGAUAGAUAGGUAAGGUCAGGUCACUGUAGAAAGUGAAGCGGAUUGAUGAGUAGGUCUAGUAGAGAAUGGAAUUGGAGAACAAAAUUAAGGCCGACAAGCAUUGGUCAGAAACUUUCCAACCUCAGCUAAUGCUUAUAACGAAUGGUCACUAAUACCUAAAAACAUUAACACCUAAAAUAAGGAAUGUGUGAAAAAAUUGUGCAAUAUCAGAUCCUGAAAGGCAAUUGUGAAAGAAUUUUCAAGUUUGAAAAACAGGUUCAACUGCAAGAAAUUCUGGAAAACUGUUCCUACGUGCUCUCGAGAUGUUAGAGGGAAAUGAGCAAAGAAACAUCUUUGAAAAAGCUGAGAGCCUUCGAGCAAAAAAUUAAAAGUGAGGAAUGGAAGAUCGUCUAAAGAUAUGCUUUAACUAAAAGCAGCUACUUCAAGAGAAAACUAGGUGAACAGGUUAAAUGUCUGGUCAAUCAAGAGCAAAGAAUGCUUUAACUAAAAGCAGCUACUUCAAGAGAAAACUAGGUGAACAGGUUAAAUGUCUGGUCAAUCAAGAGCAAAGAAAGCGAGAUAAUAGCUAAGAGAGAGAGAGAGAGAUCAAUUUGGGUAAUAACAAAGGAAAAACAAAUCCAGACUCGACAUCCAAGAGUACGUAAUAGUGAUAAUAGAAAUGACAACAUAAGGCAUUUUUCCAUAAUUGCCAACUCAACACUGAAAGCUUAUUCUCAGAAUUAAUUAAAUUGGUGUGUAAUUGAAAGAACAUUUACAAUGCUCAAAUGUGUCAUUAUGCAGUGACUGCAUUUCAUGAUUAUAUAGAUAAACCAACAUGAAUCAGAUAAAAACCAAGAGAAUUUGUUCUAUAUUUCUAGAUAAGAAUGUUUAGAUGUUAAAGAUUGUAGUUUAAGAUACCCUGAAAAAGAAUAUAAUUUAAACAAACUAAUCUACGCAAUAAAGGCAUUGUGAACAAAUUGUGUAAAUAGAAUAACUUGCUGAUCCAAAGUAUUUAACUGAAUAUUAGGAAGAACAAAAGCUUGCACUGAAGAAAAGCCCGGCAUAAAGGGUGAGCAACAUGGGGACAAAAUCAGAACUUAGGGAUUUAAGCACAAAAAAUUGCAGAGUGAAAC